RNAcentral lists this ribosomal RNA (344 nucleotides) under uncultured fungus. Its description in RNAcentral is "SSU rRNA". It matches the Rfam family "Eukaryotic small subunit ribosomal RNA", at positions 292 to 636 of the family's 1831-position model. The record is from RNAcentral. Lineage: Eukaryota; Fungi.
GGUUCAUUCAAAUUUCUUCCCUAUCAACUUUCGAUGGUAAGGUAUUGGCUUACCAUGGUUUCAACGGGUAACGGGGAAUUAGGGUUCGAUUCCGGAGAGGGAGCCUGAGAAACGGCUACCACAUCCAAGGAAGGCAGCAGGCGCGCAAAUUACCCAAUCCCGACCGGGGAGGUAGUGACAAUAAAUACUGAUACAGGGCUCUUUUGGGUCUUGUAAUUGGAAUGAGUACAAUUUAAACCUCUUAACGAGGAACAAUUGGAGGGCAAGUCUGGUGCCAGCAGCCGCGGUAAUUCCAGCUCCAAUAACGUAUAUUAAAGUUGUUGCAGUUAAAAAGCUCGUAGUUG